UAAUACGUAGGUGGCGAGCGUUGUCCGGAAUUACUGGGUGUAAAGGGAGCGCAGGCGGGAGAGCAAGUCAGCUGUGAAAACUAUGGGCUUAACCCAUAAACUGCAGUUGAAACUGUUUUUCUUGAGUGGAGUAGAGGUAGGCGGAAUUCCGAGUGUAGCGGUGAAAUGCGUAGAUAUUCGGAGGAACACCAGUGGCGAAGGCGGCCUACUGGGCUCUAACUGACGCUGAGGCUCGAAAGUGUGGGGAGCAAACAGG
RNAcentral lists this ribosomal RNA (256 nucleotides) under uncultured bacterium. Its description in RNAcentral is "partial 16S ribosomal RNA". It matches the Rfam family "Bacterial small subunit ribosomal RNA", at positions 521 to 776 of the family's 1533-position model. The record is from RNAcentral.